UACGAAGGGGGCUAGCGUUGCUCGGAAUCACUGGGCGUAAAGCGCACGUAGGCGGCUUUUAAGUCAGAGGUGAAAUCCUGGAGCUCAACUCCAGAACUGCCUUUGAUACUGGAGAGCUUGAGUCCGGGAGAGGUGAGUGGAACUGCGAGUGUAGAGGUGAAAUUCGUAGAUAUUCGCAAGAACACCAGUGGCGAAGGCGGCUCACUGGCCCAGUACUGACGCUGAGGUGCGAAAGCGUGGGGAGCAACAGG
RNAcentral lists this ribosomal RNA (251 nucleotides) under uncultured bacterium. Its description in RNAcentral is "partial 16S ribosomal RNA". It matches the Rfam family "Bacterial small subunit ribosomal RNA", at positions 524 to 775 of the family's 1533-position model. The record is from RNAcentral.